UGGGGAAUAUUGCACAAUGGGCGCAAGCCUGAUGCAGCCAUGCCGCGUGUAUGAAGAAGGCCUUCGGGUUGUAAAGUACUUUCAGCGGGGAGGAAGGCGAUAAGGUUAAUAACCUUGUCGAUUGACGUUACCCGCAGAAGAAGCACCGGCUAACUCCGUGCCAGCAGCCGCGGUAAUACGGAGGGUGCAAGCGUUAAUCGGAAUUACUGGGCGUAAAGCGCACGCAGGCGGUCUGUCAAGUCGGAUGUGAAAUCCCCGGGCUCAACCUGGGAACUGCAUUCGAAACUGGCAGGCUAGAGUCUUGUAGAGGGGGGUAGAAUUCCAGGUGUAGCGGUGAAAUGCGUAGAGAUCUGGAGGAAUACCGGUGGCGAAGGC
RNAcentral lists this ribosomal RNA (375 nucleotides) under uncultured bacterium. RNAcentral's name for it is "partial 16S ribosomal RNA". It matches the Rfam family "Bacterial small subunit ribosomal RNA", at positions 355 to 722 of the family's 1533-position model. The record is from RNAcentral.